This is a non-coding RNA of Phasianus colchicus (ring-necked pheasant), 607 nucleotides long. NCBI's taxonomy places the organism in Eukaryota, Metazoa, Chordata, Aves, Galliformes, Phasianidae. The record is from RefSeq and is a predicted model, not a curated record.
GCAAGCGAGAAGGGGCAUGGAGAAGUCCUCCAGAUGAGGGACAGUUUCCUUGGUGGACAGAGUAGUAUUGUUGUCUGAUAUGUAGUUUCAUUUUCCUUGUAACAGGAAUAAUUCAGGGAGGUGCAAGGUGCAGCAGGCACUGUUUCACUUUCCAAAGUUGGGACACUGAUCAGGAACGGUUAGAAGAUGCAGUGUGGUACUUUCCCCAAUACAAAGAGGGAUGGAAGGUCAAUACUGAUGUCAUGCAGAAUAGUGUGAUGCAACAAUCGUGGGGUGAAUGCUGAAUUCACCUGCUCAGGAAGCAGGAACAGCGUAAGCAGUGACAGACUUUGAUGAGACCUAGCUCUAUGCCUUGCGUGUUUGCUGUGCUCCCUCAUGGAACUGGCGUGGGCAUUUCUGCAUGAAGAUACACUGUAUAGACGUGGUGUGUGCUCAAAGCUCAGAUGCAAUAUAAGGAAUAUAUCAGCUUGGUAAAAGAUUUCUGUGCAUGGAAGAGGAAGCUAUAUCCAGAAUUCUUUGGACAGGAAACACUGGACUCAGAUGGCUUUGACUCUACUGUAAUGAAUCCAUAGACUGAUUCCCUUGAGUCUGACUGCUGCAUGGCUGG